UACGGAGGAUCCGAGCGUUAUCCGGAUUUACUGGGUUUAAAGGGUGCGUAGGCGGGUCGUUAAGUCGGCGGUGAAAUGCGGGGGCUCAACCUUCGAGCUGCCGCCGAAACUGGCGAUCUUGAAUUCGGUCGAGGCCGGCGGAAUGCGUGGUGUAGCGGUGAAAUGCUUAGAUAUCACGCGGAACGCCGAUUGCGAAGGCAGCUGGCCGGGCCGAGAUUGACGCUGAGGCACGAAAGCGUGGGGAUCAAACAGGAUUAGAUACCCCCGUAGUCC
This 273-nucleotide ribosomal RNA is filed under the name uncultured bacterium. Its description in RNAcentral is "partial 16S ribosomal RNA". It matches the Rfam family "Bacterial small subunit ribosomal RNA", at positions 524 to 796 of the family's 1533-position model. The record is from RNAcentral.